This 486-nucleotide long non-coding RNA is filed under the name Equus asinus (donkey). RNAcentral's name for it is "lncRNA (ENSEASG00005034061.1)". Lineage: Eukaryota; Metazoa; Chordata; Mammalia; Perissodactyla; Equidae. The record is from RNAcentral.
AGGAAAUCUACAUGCAGAGAGUCCGAAGAGUGUUCCAGGUUGAGAAACCAGCACAUGCAAAGGCCCCAGGUGAAAGAGCGUGAAGCAAGGCCGACAUGCUGCACAGGCCAGGCCCACUGCAACCCGACCCAUGAGACCCAUGCUUUUCCCAGGCUACCUCCCUGCCCCUGGAGUUACAGGUUUGGAAUAUUCUGCAUGGACAGGGAGCUGGUGGCUGACAAUGAAUGGUUUUGCAGAGGUCUUCAGAGGCCUCAGUGGCUGACUUUCUGUGUGCCCGACCAGUUUGUCCUCUCGUCAGGACACGUCAAAACUUGCAGAGACCCUGGCAGGCACGGCUCCCAACUCUUCAUUGGACAAAAGAACAACCUAAGACUCAGAGCUGAGAAGUGAUUUUGCCAGGGUCACACAGCCAGCUUGGGGCAGAAUCGGGAUUCAGGGACCUGUCUCCUACUUCUAAUGUGUCCUCUCUCCAUUACACCAGACACG